Papaver somniferum (opium poppy) is the source of this 2489-nucleotide long non-coding RNA. RefSeq lists it as uncharacterized. The transcript is spliced from 2 exons. NCBI's taxonomy places the organism in Eukaryota, Viridiplantae, Streptophyta, Magnoliopsida, Ranunculales, Papaveraceae. The record is from RefSeq and is a predicted model, not a curated record.
UAAGAAAUUAAUAAUCUUCGGUCUAAGAAAUAUUAGCCGACUGUCUAAGAAAUAUCCAUCCAACAAAUAUUAGAAGCAUCUACUGGAUCUCACUAAUCAGGUAUCACCCAUGGAUGAAUCUAGCAAUCGAUUUAUAAGAAUGUUAGAGUCUACAUCUUCAUCUGUGAAUACAGGAUCGAGUGAUAGAAAAUAAAAUGAUGGAGUGGAAAAAUUAGUUUUUCCAUACUUCGAUGGAACUGAUCCUGAAGAUUGGAUCUAUAAAGCUGAAUUGUGUUUCAAAUUUUAUGAAACACCACCAUUACAACAAGUUAAAACCGAAGGUUUUCAUCUCGAUGGUAAGGCUUUACAGUGGUACAAAUGGAUGAAAUCAGUGGAGCCAAUAUAGUCUUGGGUAUGGUUUUCAACUUCUUUGCUUAAACGAUUUGGAAAAAAUCAUUAUGAUGAACCAGCUGCACCACUUAUAAAAUUGAGUCAAGAGGGUUCUCUAGAUGAUUUCGAAGAAGAAUUUGUAGAAGCAACAAAGAUUGUAAAGGAAAUUGUCAGCGAAGAAUUUGUAGCAAUCCCAAUUAACUCAGAAGUGGUAACAGAUUUCAUCCUAGAUUCUUCAAUUUCAUCGGGACAAAACCAUGAUAAAUCUCGUGAUGGUUAUUUGUUGGAUGGAUAUUAUAAAGAACUUGUUCAAGAGUUGAUUUACAGACAUGGGUACUGGUCAGAUUUAUGGUGUAAUGGUGUUUCUAGUAUUGCUUAGCAAAUGUUUGGUAAAAUGCUUCAUAGGGUUAUUGAAAACUGGAUAGUAGUGAUGAAACAAUUGCCGCAAAUGUAUGAGGCCAAGAAUUAUUACUAUCCUUGUCUCGACUGCACUCGCAGGAUUUUUGAUCGUGGGAAAGAAUUUGAACUCAUUGAUGGGUACUCUUACUAUGCUAGUGAUUAUACUUUCUGUUGGGAAUUACUUACUUCUUAUUUGUUUAUACUGAUGGUCUGUUCUAUAUCAAUGGCUAACCACCAUGUUGAAACUGUUCGUAAGCUUAUUUUAAAACAUGGGUACCCGAUAGACUUUUUGUUAUUGUAUCUAAUUGCAUUUGUGCUGGGAAAAAAGGGUGAUUAUGGUGAUCACAAUAAACCAUUUAUUAAAAGGUCGGUAAGAAAGAAAUUCUUGAUAUUCUUGUUGACAAGAGUGGUUGAUAUUGAGCAAGCUUAUCAAAGGCUGGACACAGUAGUUCACUGGGGUAUUGUGUUCUGGAAUACAGUGGUCACUCAAGUUCUAAAAAAGUAUGGGGUGGGGAAAGCACAAGAAUGAUUUCUCUAUCAUGGGGUCUGUAAAGUGCAACUUCGAGCUUCUUCUUAUCAUGUGCUGCUGCUCUUGGAUGUUGUUUAUUUUGACCAAAUUCUUAAAGAAGCUUGCAUACCUAACAAGGUAAAUGACCUAAAACAAAUUAGUUAUGAAUGUGCCGUUUCUCCCGAUUCUGCUUAUUGUCGAAUGUUGUUUGAUCGAGGUAAAAUUGGUGAAACCAUGUUGUGGAAUUCUCAUUCUACGAUAUUAGAUGCUACAUAUGCGAUUUUAUCCAUGAGGGAAUUAUUCAGGGUUGUAGUUGAUAGACAAGAAGGGAAUGAGACAGUUUUAAUGGCAAAUUUGUAUUCUACGAUGGAUAGCAAGCUAGUUGGGAGAGCUCUGUGCGUGAAAGAUUACAUUACAAGAGUGCAAAUAAAUGAUUGGUUUACUGAGGAUGAAGGAUUUUUUCUAUAUUGGGCCAUUGCAGGUCAAAGAAAAGACGAGUACGAUAUUUCCGAACUAUAAUCUAAAUGGUAAUCACACCUUGGUUAAUGCUUGUCGAUGCUUGCCAUGUUUCGCUAGGUUUCAUAUUCGACACAAAUGGCGCUCUGAGAAAGUGUUUUUCUGUGAGAGGGUAGCUCGUGUUGACAAGAUUCUGAAGGUGAGAAUCUGGUUAUUCUAUAGUCUACAACUAUACAAACGGAUCCUUGUAGUUUGCCAGCAACACAAUCUCUAUUUUGCUACUGAAUCAUGGAAGAAUAGGAUUUUUUCAAGUAGUUAGUACCAGGCCUACUAAUUGUCGCUAAAGAUCUUCGUAUUCAGCUCAAGAUGCUUAUGGACUUUAAACCUUGAGGACAAGGUUGCUCUGAAGGGGACAGGAAUGAUAAGACUUGGCCACAAACGUGACCAAGGAUGGCUUAUUAGAGUUAGCGCGGCAUUACAGGUCCAUCUGCGUGGCUCAAGUGUUUGGUUAUUUGUUUUUAUUUAUUGUCCUAGUCAUGUAAAAGUUUUUCCUGGAGUGUCUUGUAAACAAUUAUAUACCCAGAUAGGGUAUUGGUCUUGGAAUAUCGAAUAGUUGAAUCAAGGUUUAUCCUUCAUUUCUUGGUCUGUCUUCCCCUUCCGGUAGAACCCUGGCUAGGUUCUUAUCAGUUUCAUAAUAGAUGUAUAAUGGCUAGUGUAUGAAUUUGAUAUUAUAAUCAAGAUUGUUUAACCCCCUCAA